Molecule: ribosomal RNA, 253 nt
Filed under: uncultured bacterium
Lineage: Bacteria
Description: partial 16S ribosomal RNA
Rfam family: Bacterial small subunit ribosomal RNA
Source: RNAcentral
UACAGAGGGUGCGAGCGUUAAUCGGAUUUACUGGGCGUAAAGCGUGCGUAGGCGGCUUUUUAAGUCGGAUGUGAAAUCCCGGGGCUCAACCUCGGAACUGCCAUUGAUACUAUUAGCCUUGAAUUAUGUUGAGGUUGGCGGAAUAUAACAUGUAGCGGUGAAAUGCUUAGAUAUGUUAUGGAACACCGAUUGCGAAGGCAGCUGGCUAAACAUAUAUUGACGCUGAUGCACGAAAGUGUGGGUAGCAAACAGG